UAGGGAAUCUUCCACAAUGGACGAAAGUCUGAUGGAGCAACGCCGCGUGAGUGAAGAAGGGUUUCGGCUCGUAAAACUCUGUUGUUAAAGAAGAACAUAUCUGAGAGUAACUGUUCAGGUAUUGACGGUUAUUUAACCAGAAAGCCACGGCUAACUACGUGCCAC
Molecule: ribosomal RNA, 165 nt
Filed under: uncultured bacterium
Lineage: Bacteria
Description: partial 16S rRNA
Rfam family: Bacterial small subunit ribosomal RNA
Source: RNAcentral